Molecule: ribosomal RNA, 292 nt
Filed under: uncultured prokaryote
Description: partial 16S ribosomal RNA
Rfam family: Bacterial small subunit ribosomal RNA
Source: RNAcentral
GUGUCAGCCGCCGCGGUAACACGAACCGUCCAAACGUUAUUCGGAAUAACUGGGCUUAAAGGGUUCGUAGGCGGCUAUGAAGGUGGGGUGUGAAAUCCCUCGGCUCAACCGAGGAACUGCGCUCCAAACCGCAUGGCUUGAGGGAGACAGAGGUAAGCGGAACUGAUGGUGGAGCGGUGAAAUGCGUUGAUAUCAUCAGGAACACCGGUGGCGAAGGCGGCUUACUGGGUCUCUUCUGACGCUGAGGAACGAAAGCUAGGGGAGCGAACGGGAUUAGAAACCCGCGUAGUCC